AAUCAACGCUGGCGGCGUGCCUCAGACAUGCAAGUCGAACGCGAAAGGUUCCUUCGGGAGCCGAGUAGAGUGGCGCUCGGGUGAGUAACACGUAGGUAAUUUGCCUUUGGGUGGGGAAUAACAAUCGGAAACGGUUGCUAAUACCGCAUAAUGCAGCGGCUCGACAUCGAGACAGUUGUUAAAGCGGGGGAUCCUUCGGGACCUCGCGCCUAAAGAGAAGCCUGCGGCGGAUUAGCAGUUGGUGAGGUAAUGGCUCACCAAGGCGACGAUCCGUAACCGGCCUGAGAGGGCGGACGGUCACACUGACACUUAAAUACGGGUCAGACUCCUACGGGAGGCAGCAGUCGGGGAAUUUUGGGUCAAUGGGCGAAAGCCUGACCCAGCAACGCCGCGUGAAGGA
This 400-nucleotide ribosomal RNA is filed under the name uncultured bacterium. RNAcentral's name for it is "bacterial SSU rRNA". It matches the Rfam family "Bacterial small subunit ribosomal RNA", at positions 32 to 408 of the family's 1533-position model. The record is from RNAcentral.